Molecule: long non-coding RNA, 1088 nt
Organism: Anopheles stephensi (Asian malaria mosquito)
Lineage: Eukaryota; Metazoa; Arthropoda; Insecta; Diptera; Culicidae
Exons: 3
Source: RefSeq, a predicted model, not a curated record
AUCAGUGUUUGUUAGCAGAGGGCAGCUGGUGGUGCCACCAUCAUUUUGUUUUUCGCCUCGUUAAUCUGCAAUCCGAGGUUCUGUUAGAGCCUCAAACCAAUGAUGUCUAUGUCUUCAGCGUGUAUGUCAGGAUCUGGAUUUACUUAUAGAAGAUGGUCCCCGAAGGUUCCACCUCCGAGUCGCGGAUGGCUCUCUCUAGCGCCAGGUUGAAAAGGAGACAGGCAAGCCCAUCUCCCUGGCGCAAGCCCUUGGUGGUAGCAAAGGGCCCUGAGAGUUUUCCAUCCACCUUCACCUGGCAUAUGAUGUUGGCCAUUGUCAUUCUUACAAGCCUGGUAAGCUUGACCGGGAGGAUUCCAAAAGAGCUCAUAACUUCGUAUGGUGCCACCCUGGGGCUAUGCUGUCAUAUGCGGUUUUAACAUCAAUGAAGAGAUGGUAGGAGUAGAGCUGCUCCAAGGCUUGCCACAUCGUGAAGUCAGUGAUUGAUUUUCCGUUUCGGAAUCCUCCUCUGACAGUUUCCGAUCGAUCUUGUAAGAGCAGGGAGAAACGCGUGCGAUGCUAAUAAUAUGAAUCCCGAACAAAAACUAUAAAAUGCGAUGAUCGUACAGUGAAGAGAAGGGUGAUGAAAAUGGUGCGUAUAUGUGAAGUUUCCAAGAAGCAGCUUCUCAUCAAACUCGUGCGAGAAACCACAAACGAUUGGGAAUUAGCACACACACACACACACUGUGACGCGACUCGUAGUAAUCAAGCGGGGACAGCCGGACCAAGGCGUGAUAAGCAUCGCGAGAGGAUGCUACCGUUUCGUUUUCCCACGUUUCGGUGGCAAAUCUUCCUCAUCGUCAUCUAGAAGUGAGAAAAGGGAAGAUUAUUAUGUGAUGCUGCUUGACACUGUGCGUGCGUGUGCGUGUGAGUUUACUGAGUGUAUAAUACAGGAAUACUAGGGAGAAAGCACACAAGUUUGAAAGCUGACCGAUCAGUUAGUGGUAGAGAAGGUAAAAUGGUUUCUAGUUUCGUAUGAACACUGCAGAGCAAAACCGGUGCAUUUUCAGUAAAAUUUUACUGAAGAAAAGAAAAAUAUAUUUUUGUUUUAA